GACAGUUCAUGCUUUUACAGUAUGAAAAUUGGUGAUUUAUAAUAACUUAGCAAAUCGCAAAGUGAAAACAGGCGAUAAAUCAUUCAAGUUUCUGACCUAUCAGCUUUCGACGGUAUGGUAUUGGCUUACCGUGGCAGUGACGGUUAACGGGGGAUUAGGGUUCGAUUCCGGAGAGGGAGCCUGAGAAACGGCUACCACAUCUAAGGAAGGCAGCAGGCGCGCAAAUUACCCAAUUCUAACAGUUUGAGAGAGGUAGUAACAAGAAAUAACAAUACAAGGCAGUUAAAAUGCUUUGUAAUUGGAAUGAUAGAAAUUUAAACCCUUUUUAAAGUAUCAAUUGGAGGGCAAGUCUGGUGCCAGCAGCCGCGGUAAUUCCAGCUCCAAUAGCGUAUAUUAAAAUUGUUGCAGUUAAAAAGCUCGUAGUUGAAGUUCUGCUGAAAGUAACCGGUCUGCUUUUAAUAAAAGUGGUAUCUUGGUAUGUAUUUAGCAAUGAUGUCCUUUGAAGUGUUUUUUACUUUAUUGUAAUAAAGCAUAUUCAGGACUUUUACUUUGAGAAAAUUAGAGUGUUUCUAGCAGGCUAACGCUUUGAAUACUGCAGCAACAUCUUUUUUAUGUC
RNAcentral lists this ribosomal RNA (616 nucleotides) under Hepatozoon canis. RNAcentral describes it as "SSU rRNA". It matches the Rfam family "Eukaryotic small subunit ribosomal RNA", at positions 220 to 825 of the family's 1831-position model. Lineage: Eukaryota; Apicomplexa; Hepatozoidae. The record is from RNAcentral.